This 1346-nucleotide ribosomal RNA is filed under the name uncultured bacterium. RNAcentral's name for it is "partial 16S ribosomal RNA". It matches the Rfam family "Bacterial small subunit ribosomal RNA", at positions 28 to 1381 of the family's 1533-position model. The record is from RNAcentral.
GACGAACGCUGGCGGCGUGCUUAACACAUGCAAGUCGAACGGAAAGGCCCUGCUUUUGUGGGGUGCUCGAGUGGCGAACGGGUGAGUAACACGUGAGUAACCUGCCCUUGACUUUGGGAUAACUUCAGGAAACUGGGGCUAAUACCGGAUAGGAGCUCCUGCUGCAUGGUGGGGGUUGGAAAGUUUCGGCGGUUGGGGAUGGACUCGCGGCUUAUCAGCUUGUUGGUGGGGUAGUGGCUUACCAAGGCUUUGACGGGUAGCCGGCCUGAGAGGGUGACCGGCCACAUUGGGACUGAGAUACGGCCCAGACUCCUACGGGAGGCAGCAGUGGGGAAUAUUGCACAAUGGGCGGAAGCCUGAUGCAGCAACGCCGCGUGCGGGAUGACGGCCUUCGGGUUGUAAACCGCUUUCGCCUGUGACGAAGCGUGAGUGACGGUAAUGGGUAAAGAAGCACCGGCUAACUACGUGCCAGCAGCCGCGGUGAUACGUAGGGUGCGGGCGUUGUCCGGAUUUAUUGGGCGUAAAGGGCUCGUAGGUGGUUGAUCGCGUCGGAAGUGUAAUCUUGGGGCUUAACCCUGAGCGUGCUUUCGAUACGGGUUGACUUGAGGAAGGUAGGGGAGAAUGGAAUUCCUGGUGGAGCGGUGGAAUGCGCAGAUAUCAGGAGGAACACCAGUGGCGAAGGCGGUUCUCUGGGCCUUUCCUGACGCUGAGGAGCGAAAGCGUGGGGAGCGAACAGGCUUAGAUACCCUGGUAGUCCACGCUGUAAACGGUGGGUACUAGGUGUGGGGUCCAUUCCACGGGUUCCGUGCCGUAGCUAACGCUUUAAGUACCCCGCCUGGGAAGUACGGCCGCAAGGCUAAAACUCAAAGGAAUUGACGGGGCCCCGCACAAGCGGCGGAGCAUGCGGAUUAAUUCGAUGCAACGCGUAGAACCUUACCUGGGUUUGACAUGGAUCGGGAGUGCUCAGAGAUGGGUGUGCCUCUUUUGGGGUCGGUUCACAGGUGGUGCAUGCCUGUCGUCAGCUCGUGUCGUGAGAUGUUGGGUUAAGUCCCGCAACGAGCGCAACCCUUGUUCACUGUUGCCAGCACGUUAUGGUGGGGACUCAGUGGAGACCGCCGGGGUCAACUCGGAGGAAGGUGGGGAUGACGUCAAGUCAUCAUGCCCCUUAUGUCCAGGGCUUCACGCAUGCUACAAUGGCUGGUACAGAGAGUGGCGAGCCUGUGAGGGUGAGCGAAUCUCGGAAAGCCGGUCUCAGUUCGGAUUGGGGUCUGCAACUCGACCUCAUGAAGUCGGAGUCGCUAGUAAUCGCAGAUCAGCAACGCUGCGGUGAAUACGUUCCCGGGGCU